Long non-coding RNA from Hibiscus syriacus, 962 nucleotides. RefSeq lists it as uncharacterized. The record is from RefSeq and is a predicted model, not a curated record. The transcript has 6 exons. NCBI's taxonomy places the organism in Eukaryota, Viridiplantae, Streptophyta, Magnoliopsida, Malvales, Malvaceae.
UUACCUACCCCUAUUCGAAACAAAGAAGAUAAAAAAUUAAACAAAAAAACCAUAGCUAAAUCCCUAAAACCGACCUUUAUUCCUCUUUGCUUUCCCCUUCCAUUUGCACUCUGAAGAUCGUGCGAAAAAACUUGAUGGAGCUAAUGCGAUCCUUAAGCUACAUCGUUCAAACGAGCAGUUAUGGAGGGUCCAAACAACGUCUAUCUUCCUCCGCUUGAAUCACUGCUCGCCCUGGGAUUUCUUCCACCCAAAACGCGUCUUCGUCGCCUAAUCAAUUGCUAGGAAAUGGGCGAAUUUUUUACCACAUCGAGAGAUUGAUCGGUACUCACAUACUUCAAAACUUCUCGCUCGUUGCUGGGCAUCACAGAUAAGUGCACUGAUUUCUGAUAGAUCUGGGCUUGGGUCUUUAAGUUUCAUGGUCACCGUUCGAGAAUCGCCUUCUAGUAUUACCUUCUGAAAACCCAAGUCGAUUGUUAAUUGCAGACUAUAGUUCGAUGCCAUUGCUUCAGCAACAAACUUCGAUGGAAUAUGACAGGUCAUUCGUAUGCAUUGUUAUGCAUUGCACGUGUUAAGGAGAAGCCUUCACUUUGGUGGAAUAUCAGGUUAAAGCAGGCAUUGAAAGUUGGCUUUAACCAUCUUGUUUUUUAAGACAAUUAUGAUACUGGAGCUGGAGAUCAUUAUUCACUGAGGCAGAUAUGUGACCAGUUCUAUAUAAGAGAUUCUUUCUUGGAGGCGCACGUGGAUUCAUUCAGGGUUUUAAUUGGUACAUGUUGGAUGAAGGAGAAAGAGACGAUGAUCAUGGAAUUGCCCGCAGAAUCAAUGAUCAAUGAAUCCUAGUGUUUGCUUUGUCAAAGCUGCUAAGGCUGAAGUUUUGGAUGAUCUUCAGGGGACCAUUGACACAUUGGCUUGGGGAAAGGUCUCUCGUAUUGGGGAAAUGAGCUAUGUUGUUUGUCUUGGCUGUA